Molecule: ribosomal RNA, 564 nt
Filed under: Reyranella sp.
Lineage: Bacteria; Pseudomonadati; Pseudomonadota; Alphaproteobacteria; Hyphomicrobiales; Reyranellaceae
Description: partial 23S ribosomal RNA
Rfam family: Bacterial large subunit ribosomal RNA
Source: RNAcentral
GGGUAUGGCUAGAAGCCAGGCUAACUGUGAGACGUACAUGUCGAGCAGGUGCGAAAGCAGGCCCAAAUGAUCCGACGGUAGAAUGUGGAAUUGCCGUCGCUCAACGGACAAAAGGUACGCUAGGGAUAACAGGCUGAUCGCGCCCAAGCGUUCACAGCGACGGCGCGGUUUGGCACCUCGAUGUCGACUCAUCACAUCCUGGGGCUGGAGCAGGUCCCAAGGGUUCGGCUGUUCGCCGAUUAAAGUGGUACGUGAGUUGGGUUCAGAACGUCGUGAGACAGUUCGGUCCCUAUCUGCUGUGGGUGUUCGAGACUUGAGAGGAGCCGUCCUUAGUACGAGAGGACCGGGAUGGACGUACCUCUGGUGUACCGGUUGUGACGCCAGUCGCAGCGCCGGGUAGCUAUGUACUGGAGGGAUAAACGCUGAAAGCAUCUAAGCGUGAAACCCGCCUCGAAACUAGGUCUCGCUGAGAGUCGUGGUAGACCACCACGUUGAUAGGCCGCGUGUGUAAGUGCAGUGAUGUACUAAGCUUAGCGGUACUAAUAGCUCGAUAGGCUUGAUUCU